This 460-nucleotide ribosomal RNA is filed under the name uncultured bacterium. Its description in RNAcentral is "partial 16S ribosomal RNA". It matches the Rfam family "Bacterial small subunit ribosomal RNA", at positions 338 to 795 of the family's 1533-position model. The record is from RNAcentral.
CCUACGGGUGGCAGCAGUGAGGAAUAUUGGUCAAUGGCCGGAAGUCUGAACCAGCCAAGCCGCGUGAAGGACGACGGUGCCAAGCAUUGUAAACUUCUUUUGUCAAGGGACAAAAUCAGUCUCGAGUGCCUGACCGAGGGUACUUGAAGAAAAAGCAUCGGCUAACUCCGUGCCAGCAGCCGCGGUAAUACGGAGGAUUCGAGCGUUAUCCGGAUUUAUUGGGUUUAAAGGGUGCGUAGGCCGCCCGUUAAGUCAGGGGUGAAAGGCCGGGGCUCAACCCCGGGAGUGCGGUUGAACUUGGUGGUCUUGAGAGGGCGGGAGGUAGGCGGAAUGAGCAGUGUAGCGGUGAAAUGCUUAGAUAUGGCGCAGAACUCCGAUUGCGAAGGCAGCAUACCGGCGGGGAUCUGACGCUGAGGCACGAAAGCGUGGGUAGCGAACAGGAUUAGAUACCCGGGUAGUC